GUUAAUGUAGCUAAACAACAAAGCAAAACACUGAAAAUGCUUAGAUGGAUAUCGAAUCCCAUAAACA
This 67-nucleotide transfer RNA is filed under the name Rattus norvegicus (Norway rat). It matches the Rfam family "tRNA". Rfam says of the family: Transfer RNA (tRNA) molecules are approximately 80 nucleotides in length. Their secondary structure includes four short double-helical elements and three loops (D, anti-codon, and T loops). Lineage: Eukaryota; Metazoa; Chordata; Mammalia; Rodentia; Muridae. The record is from Rfam by way of RNAcentral.